This 73-nucleotide transfer RNA is filed under the name Pseudomonadota bacterium. RNAcentral's name for it is "tRNA-Ala". It matches the Rfam family "tRNA". Rfam says of the family: Transfer RNA (tRNA) molecules are approximately 80 nucleotides in length. Their secondary structure includes four short double-helical elements and three loops (D, anti-codon, and T loops). The record is from RNAcentral. RNAcentral also lists the same sequence under 1 other name. Lineage: Bacteria; Pseudomonadati; Pseudomonadota.
GGGGACGUAGCUCAACUGGGAGAGCGCCGGCUUUGCAAGCCGGAGGUUGCGGGUUCGACCCCCGUCGUCUCCA